This 269-nucleotide long non-coding RNA is filed under the name Olea europaea (common olive). RNAcentral describes it as "long non-coding RNA (OEUR_LNC007537)". The record is from RNAcentral. Lineage: Eukaryota; Viridiplantae; Streptophyta; Magnoliopsida; Lamiales; Oleaceae.
CUUGUAUAUUUUCUGAAAAUCAUGCAGCAGACCUUGAGAAAAUUAUGAGGACUGGUCUGAAAAUCUGAUUGCAUUAUCUACUGUACUUGUAAAUUUGAAAUGGACAGGAAAGUCAAUGAUAUAGAGAGGAGAGGAGACAAAUAAGAGUUAAUCGAGAAAAAUAAGAGUUAAUCUAUUUCCCUAAUAGAAUUUGACCACUUAUAAACAAGUUCUUGAAUCCUUAACAAGACUGAUUAAUUAUACUACUGACCUUGCCAUGAUUUGCCCCG